UUGAAGGGUUUGAUCCUGGCUCAGAAUGAACGUUGUCGGCGUGGAUUAGGCAUGCAAGUCGAGCGACAAGCUCAGACGGAUCCCUUCGGGGUGAAGACUGAGUGGAGGAGCGGCAAACGGGGUAGUUAGGCGCAGGUACGUACCCUCAGGUCGGGGAUAGCCAUGGGAAACUGUGGGUAAUACCCGAUAAUCCGGUAACGGCAAAGGUGUGAUUCCGCCGGAGGAGCGGUCUGCGUGGUAUUAGCUUGUUGGUGAGGUAAUGGCUCACCAAGGCGAAGAUGCCUAGGGGGUGUGAGAGCAUGGCCCCCACCACUGGGACUGAGACACUGCCCAGACAUCUACGGAUGGCUGCAGUCGAGAAUCUUUGGCAAUGCACGCAAGUGUGACCAAGCGACGCCGAGUGCUGGAUGAAGGCCUUCGGGUUGUAAACAGCUGUCAGAGGGGAUGAAAUUGUUGGGGGCUAUCCCCCUUCAUUGACAAAGCCUCAGAGGAAGCGCGGGCUAAGUUCGUGCCAGCAGCCGCGGUAAUACGAAGGGGGCUAGCGUUGUUCGGAAUUACUGGGCGUAAAGCGCGCGUAGGUGGUUAGGUAAGCGAGAUGUGAAAGCCCCGGGCUUAACCUGGGAACGGCAUUUCGAACUGUCUGACUAGAGUGUGGUAGAGGGUAGUGGAAUUUCCUGUGUAGCGGUGAAAUGCGUAGAUAUAGGAAGGAACACCAGUGGCGAAGGCGGCUAACUGGACUGAUACUGACGCUGAGGUGCGAAAGUGUGGGGAGCAAACAGGAUUAGAUACCCUGGUAGUCCACACCGUAAACGAUGAGUGCUAGUUGUCUGCAGGCAUGCCUGUAGGUGACGCAGCUAACGCAUUAAGCACUCCGCCUGGGGAGUACGGCCGCAAGGUUAAAACU
RNAcentral lists this ribosomal RNA (904 nucleotides) under Madagascaria erythrocladioides. Its description in RNAcentral is "partial Bacterial small subunit ribosomal RNA". It matches the Rfam family "Bacterial small subunit ribosomal RNA", at positions 1 to 901 of the family's 1533-position model. Lineage: Eukaryota; Rhodophyta; Compsopogonophyceae; Erythropeltidales; Erythrotrichiaceae. The record is from RNAcentral.